GAUGAACGCUGGCGGCGUGCCUAAUACAUGCAAGUCGAGCGAACGGACGCGGAGCUUGCUUUUUUGAUGUUAGCGGCGGACGGGUGAGUAACACGUGGAUAACCUACCUAUAAGACUGGGAUAACUUCGGGAAACCGGAGCUAAUACCGGAUAAUAUUUUGAACCGUAUGGUUCAAAAGUGAAAGACGGUCUUGCUGUCACUUAUAGAUGGAUCCGAGCUGCAUUAGGUGGUUGGUAAGGUAACGGGCUAUCAAGGCAACGAGGCAUAGCCGACGUGUGGGGGGGAUCGGCCACCUUGGAGGGGAGACACGGUCCUGACUCCUACGGUAGGCAGCAGUAGGGAACCUUCCGCAAUGGGCGAGAGCCUUGCGGAGCAGCGCCGCGUGAGUUAUAGAGGUCUUCGGAGCGGAAAGCUCUGUUAUUAGUGAAGAACAUAUGUGUAAUUAGCUGAGCACAUCUUGACGGUACCUAAUCAGAAAGCCACGGCUAACUACGUG
This 497-nucleotide ribosomal RNA is filed under the name uncultured bacterium. Its description in RNAcentral is "partial 16S ribosomal RNA". It matches the Rfam family "Bacterial small subunit ribosomal RNA", at positions 28 to 507 of the family's 1533-position model. The record is from RNAcentral.